GAUGAAGAACGUAGCGAAAUGCGAUACGUAAUGUGAAUUGCAAAUUCAGUGAAUCAUCGAGUCUUUGAACGCACAUUGCGCCCCCUGGUAUUCCGGGGGGCAUGCCUGUCCGAGCGUCAUUGCUGCCCUCAAGCACGGCUUGUGUGUUGGGCCCCGUCCUCCGAUCCCGGGGGACGGGCCCGAAAGGCAGCGGCGGCACCGCGUCCGGUCCUCGAGCGUAUGGGGCUUUGUCACCCGCUCUGUAGGCCCGGCCGGCGCUUGCCGAUCAACCCAAAUUUUUAUCCAGGUUGACCUCGGAACAGGUAGGGAUACCCGCUGAACUUAAGCAUAUCAAUAAGCGGAGGA
This 345-nucleotide unclassified non-coding RNA is filed under the name soil metagenome. RNAcentral's name for it is "partial contains 5.8S ribosomal RNA, internal transcribed spacer 2, and large subunit ribosomal RNA". The stretch from base 1 to 119 matches the Rfam family "5.8S ribosomal RNA", at positions 35 to 154 of the family's 154-position model. The record is from RNAcentral.